GACGAACGCUGGCGGCGUGCUUAGCACAUGCAAGUCGAACGGAAAGGCCCUGCUUUUGUGGGGUGCUCGAGUGGCGAACGGGUGAGUAACACGUGAGUAACCUGCCCUUGACUUUGGGAUAACUUCAGGAAACUGGGGCUAAUACCGGAUAGGAGCUCCUGCUGCAUGGUGGGGUUGGAAAGUUCGGCGGUUGGGAUGGACUCGCGGCUUAUCAGCUUGUUGGUGGGGUAGUGGCUUACCAAGGCUU
Molecule: ribosomal RNA, 247 nt
Filed under: uncultured Actinomycetes bacterium
Lineage: Bacteria; Bacillati; Actinomycetota; Actinomycetes
Description: uncultured actinobacterium partial 16S ribosomal RNA
Rfam family: Bacterial small subunit ribosomal RNA
Source: RNAcentral